Molecule: ribosomal RNA, 497 nt
Filed under: uncultured bacterium
Lineage: Bacteria
Description: partial 16S ribosomal RNA
Rfam family: Bacterial small subunit ribosomal RNA
Source: RNAcentral
GGUGAACGCUGGCGGUGGGCCUAAUACAUGCAAGUCGAGCGAAAAGACGAUGAGCUUGCGCCUCUAACGGUGGCGGGGGGCGGGCGGGUGACACAUGGAUAAGCAACUACUUAUUCUGGGAGAACUUCGGGAGAACGGAUCCACUACUGGAGAAUAUGAUGUACCGGAGGGUGCAGUAGAGAUAGGCGCCUUGGGUGUCACAAUGAGCUGGAUCCGCGCCGGAUUAGCUAGUUGGUAAGGUAACGGCUUACCAAGGCGACGAUGCGUAGCUGACCUGAGAGGGUGAUCGGCCACACUGGAACUGAGACACGGUCCAGACUCCUACGGGAGGCAGCAGUAGGGAAUAUUGGACAAUGGGCGAAAGCCUGAUCCAGCCAUGCCGCGUGAGUGAAGAAGGUCUUCGGGUCGUAAAGCUCUGUUAUUGGGAAAGAAAAACUGCGUAUUAAUCCCCCGCCGUCCUGACGGUACCCAAACAAAAAGCACCGGCUAACUUCGUG